GACUGUGCACAUGAGCAACACGUUAAUGUUUUGAUUGGCUACAAUGGGGUGCACAGUACCAUCCCGUAAACCACCCUCCCUCUCCAGCCCCUUCACCUUCACGGACACCGAUAGCCACCCUCCUCUCCAGCAGCCUCCCCGUCGCCGGCACCACCAUUGCAACCUCUUCCUUCCCUCUACCCAUUCGAUGUGUGUAUGAGAGAGAGAGAGAGAGGGAUCUGGUGAGAGAUCUCCUGGACUCGUUGAAGCCCUGAUACCUGAGCCUGGCCGACACUUCAACAUCGAAGGUGUGAAGGCGCCGCCGGGACCUCAUUCCUUCAGUCAUCGCCGACGUUCUGGUGAUGGGUCAGGCCGGAAGCUCCUGCAAAUCCUCUUUUUGUGUGGUGUGUGUUGAUUUGAUUUGAAAUUUUGUGGUUGAGUUGCUGGUGGUGGGUCUUUGAAUUCAGGUUUGAGAGUGAAUAGCUUUGGCAUUAAGUUGUAGGGUUUGUUGAACUGUUAACAGAGACAUGCGUAUGGUGCUGUGGUGCUAUGCAGCGGCAUGGACUGAGGAAAUGAGUUGUUUUACAUCCUUUGUAAUUACAACCGAUAUAGAAUAAUAUUAGGUUGUACCAAAUGGAACACAAUUGUCAUGGCUCACACACUGGCUCCGAUGUGGAUGUAGGUUGGAGAGGUAAAAUGUAAUAUUUUAA
Molecule: long non-coding RNA, 689 nt
Filed under: Glycine max (soybean)
Lineage: Eukaryota; Viridiplantae; Streptophyta; Magnoliopsida; Fabales; Fabaceae
Description: long non-coding RNA (GMAX_LNC001506)
Source: RNAcentral